AUAUUUUUGGUACUUGAUGAUAAAAAAAAAAAAAAUCUGUUCUUAUCAGUUUAAUUGCUGAUACGUCCUCAAUUUAUGAGGACUGACACAUUAAACGCAUUUUUGGUGCUGGGAGCGGGCCUCAGAGCUUGCUCCAGCGCCUCCGCUCAUCGGCCCGGUAUUGCAGUGCCUCGGGGCCCGGUGCCCGCUCC
Molecule: small nuclear RNA, 191 nt
Organism: Alligator mississippiensis (American alligator)
Lineage: Eukaryota; Metazoa; Chordata; Crocodylia; Alligatoridae
Product: U2 spliceosomal RNA
Exons: 1
Source: RefSeq, a predicted model, not a curated record